Molecule: long non-coding RNA, 505 nt
Organism: Galendromus occidentalis (western predatory mite)
Lineage: Eukaryota; Metazoa; Arthropoda; Arachnida; Mesostigmata; Phytoseiidae
Exons: 2
Source: RefSeq, a predicted model, not a curated record
CCGCAUCUUUUCGGUCAGCUCCCUGUGGAGCUCCGGCAUUGGAUCGAAGAUGAGUUGCCGUGGCAAGCCAGCCUGGCGGCGUCGUGUGCCACCGCGGCCUAAUUCGCCCCCGGGAGUUCAGGCUUUACUUUCCGUCGAUAUCGACCGGCUUGCGUCGGACCCCGAACGCCGAAGCCUUCGAUGGGAUGAUGAGCCUGAAUGACCGCUUCCAGAGUCAGAGUCUGGGAUUCUGCCUACGGCUCCGGAACGGGUCGCGCCAGGGAUUCCGGUUAUCUACCUCUGUACCAUUCACUUGUUAUCAUCGUCAUGGUCGUUUGAUCUGUUACAUCCCGCCCGGAAACCGCAACAGCUCAAAACUGGCUUACUGUCGACGAAGUAGAUCUUUAUUAGGACGAGCAAUUUUUCAUUCUUGGACAUGCUCGCCAACUGUUUCUCCCCUCGAGCAUCUGUGAUGUAUUCUGUGUACCUCGUUGUUCUCAAAAUAAAGCAUGAUGUUCUCGCGGCA